RNAcentral lists this ribosomal RNA (265 nucleotides) under uncultured bacterium. RNAcentral's name for it is "partial 16S ribosomal RNA". It matches the Rfam family "Bacterial small subunit ribosomal RNA", at positions 88 to 354 of the family's 1533-position model. The record is from RNAcentral.
CCGGCGACCGGCGGACGGGUGCGUAGCGCGUAUGUAACCUACCUUUGACAGGGGGAUAACAUCGAGAAAUUGGUACUAAUACCCCAUAACAUCACCGGAGGCAUCUUCGGUGGUUGAAAACUCAGGUGGUCAGAGAUGGACAUGCGUUGUAUUAGCUAGUUGGUGAGGUAACGGCUCACCAAGGCGACGAUACAUAGGGGGACUGAGAGGUCAACCCCCCACAUUGGUACUGAGACACGGACCAAACUCCUACGGGAGGCAGCAG